GAGAAGACCAGAGAAAGGCAUGUGAGGAAGAGAAUCAUUGAAUUAGAAAUUACAGAUUCUGCCUUGCUUUCCAUAAGUGGUUAGAACAUAAAAAUAACCUCCAAACUCAGGCUCCAGUUUGAGUUCCACAAGUCCUGAUUAACCACAGCCUAAUGAGAGGAGAUGUCAUGCAUUCCUCUAGUCUCUCUAGUGAACACUGGAAAGCUCCACAUCCUACAGGCUGGGGAGCCAGGGCAACAACUCAGCUUCUCUCCAGAUGCGUGUCUGUCACUGUCCUUAAGCUGCUGGCCCAGCAGUUACCAGCUGCUCAUGGCUUCCCUGGUGGCUCAGGCGGUAAGGAAUCCGCCUGCAAUGUAGGAGACCCAGGAUUGAUCUGUGGUUGGGGAAGAUCCCCUGGGGAAGGAAAGGGCAACCCACUCUAGUAUUCCUGCCUAGAGAAUCCCGUGGACAGAAGAGCCUGGUGGGCUACAGUCCAGGGGUCAGAUCACAGGGCUGCUCAGCCUCCACAAUUUCAUGAUGCAAUUCCCCAUAAUAAAUCUCCAUACUUGUGUGUGUAUGUGUGUGUUUAACAGAAGUACAUAGACCCAAUGGGUUUUGUUUCCCUGGAGAGUGUUGACUAAUACAACACCCUUCUUCAAAAGAGUUCUGAGUUCUUCCAUGAACAUUUUGCAUUUAUUUAUCUCCACCCUAUCUUGUAAUAGGAAUUGUGAACAGAUGAACUGUGUGAGCCUAUCUAACCUCUCUGGUGGGCGGAGCAUCCGGACCUACAGGGAGGUGAGGCAGGACACGGGGAGCGAGCCCCAGGCUGUGCAGUGCUCACAGCCCUCUUGGCCUCACGGUGGCUGCCUCUGCCCGCUUUGACAGCACUCGCUCCUCUCCAUGGCCUGGUACCCAUCGGGCUCUCUCUGCCAGGCCCCAAGCGAGGACAUUCCUAAUCCAAGCUGAGAACAUUGCACUUUCCUCUUUAUGUGGAGCUUAAGGUCAGAGGCUGCUGGUUCUCAUGAUUUCAGAAACUCACACACACAUUCCUCGGUGUGAAGCACUCCUGAUUGGGCCUCACGAGCACAGGGAGAACAGGGAGGGGACUGGCAGGGCCAGGCAGGUGUCAGAGCCCUCCCAACCAUCAGCACCGCUC
Molecule: long non-coding RNA, 1135 nt
Organism: Bos taurus (domestic cattle)
Lineage: Eukaryota; Metazoa; Chordata; Mammalia; Artiodactyla; Bovidae
Source: Ensembl